CCGCUGGUCGUCUAGUUGGUUUAUGGCACUGGACUGUAAUAUCAUAAAAAUCUGCUAUCCAGGUGUCGUCGGUUCGACUCCGACCCAGCGGA
RNAcentral lists this transfer RNA (92 nucleotides) under [Emmonsia] crescens. RNAcentral's name for it is "Emmonsia crescens tRNA". It matches the Rfam family "tRNA". From Rfam's summary of the family: Transfer RNA (tRNA) molecules are approximately 80 nucleotides in length. The record is from Rfam by way of RNAcentral. Lineage: Eukaryota; Fungi; Ascomycota; Eurotiomycetes; Onygenales; Ajellomycetaceae.